GAUGAACGCUAGCGGCAGGCUUAAUACAUGCAAGUCGAGGGGCAGCACGAAUAGCAAUAUUUGGUGGCGACCGGCGCACGGGUGCGUAACACGUAUACAAUCUACCUUCAACAGGGGGAUAGCCUUUCGAAAGAGAGAUUAAUACCCCGUAAUAUAAGAAAUGGCAUCAUUUUUUAUUGAAAGUUCCGACGGUUGAAGAUGAGUAUGCGUCUGAUUAGCUAGUUGGUAGUGUAAUGGACUACCAAGGCUACGAUCAGUAGGGGAUCUGAGAGGACUACCCCCCCACACUGGUACUGAGACACGGACCAGACUCCUACGGGAGGCAGCAGUAAGGAAUAUUGGUCAAUGGAGGCAACUCUGAACCAGCCAUGCCGCGUGCAGGAUGACGGCCCUAUGGGUUGUAAACUGCUUUUGUACCAGAGAAAAACCCUUUUUACGUGUAGAAGGUUGAUAGUAUGGUAAGAAUAAGCAUCGGCUAACUUCGUGCCAGCAGCCGCGGUAAU
Molecule: ribosomal RNA, 503 nt
Filed under: uncultured bacterium
Lineage: Bacteria
Description: bacterial SSU rRNA
Rfam family: Bacterial small subunit ribosomal RNA
Source: RNAcentral